RNAcentral lists this transfer RNA (67 nucleotides) under Candidatus Saccharimonadota bacterium. RNAcentral describes it as "tRNA-Cys". It matches the Rfam family "tRNA". From Rfam's summary of the family: Transfer RNA (tRNA) molecules are approximately 80 nucleotides in length. Their secondary structure includes four short double-helical elements and three loops (D, anti-codon, and T loops). Lineage: Bacteria; Candidatus Saccharimonadota. The record is from RNAcentral.
CGGGGUGUAGCUCAGUGGUAGAGCACCUAGCAAUAGGAGGCCGUAGGUUCGAACCCUGCCAUCCCGA